RNAcentral lists this unclassified non-coding RNA (1177 nucleotides) under Hevea brasiliensis (rubber tree). The record is from RNAcentral. Lineage: Eukaryota; Viridiplantae; Streptophyta; Magnoliopsida; Malpighiales; Euphorbiaceae.
CAAAACAAGAGAAAUCCCCUUCUCAACUCCGAAUUUUUUUGUGGUAGAACAACAAAGAUAAAAGUCUCUGCCACCGGCAGCAGAGUAACAAUUAUAAUACCAGAGAGCAAUGCCAAUGAGGAACGACAGACUUCUUUGUACGAAUGUAUGGAUUUCUCUUGGCGAAAUAUAAAGUUCAGGUCACAAAGAAACACCAUAGUUUAAGAUACAAGUAACAAUUAUUUUCGAAAACUCCCAACACCAUCAGGCUUCAAUACUUUGGCAGCUAGACCUCAAAUUCGUACUUGAUCCAAGCAGGAUUUCCCAUCCAGCUUGCUGCUUUGCUGAAGCUCCAAGUAUUCCCCAUACUUCAUUUCAAUAUACGCUGGCGCAUUCCCUUCUCGGUCUAGCAACUCUGGUGCAGGAGUAACGACUGAAUCUAGUGAAGGUCCAUGUGCCAUGACUAAGGAUAUUCUUGCAGCUUUCUUGUUCACAACCGCUCGAUGUUCAACGCUCUUGUACUUUCCAUUACUCAAAAUCUAUAGCAAAGAAAAUGAUGUUUCAACAGAGGCAAUGAGCAUAAUAUCUUUCAAGUUCUAAAAUAAGCAAGGCAGGAAAUGCUUGCACCUCAAGAUGAUCUCCUGUGUUAACCAGAAAGGAAUUGGGGUAGCCAUUCAUAUUGACCCACUUCCCUUUGUGUUGCACUUGAAGGCCACUAACUCCAUUCUGUAUUAGAAUGGUCAAGAGGCCAUGAUCCGAGUGAGAGGCCAGGCCCAUUGCAAGUUCUGGUUGUGUGCAAGGUGGGUAGUAGUUUGCUAUACUGACCUGCAGGCCUUGCUCCAAAUUCAUUGCUUUGUCUAUGUAAUUUGUUCCCAAUCCCAAGCUCUCUGAUAUCCCUUUUAGUAAUUCUCUUGCUACUUCUCUUACUCUUUUGGAGUAUUCUAACAGAUUCUCACUGAACCCAGCAGGUUUGCUGGGUGAGUGAAACACGGGAUGUACAAAGAGCUUGAGAAAAUCCCUCCAACAAAAGACCUUCUCCACUGAAGUAUUAAAGCUGGUGCCACACCGUAUUGGGUCUAAUACAUGCUUACCUUCAUACUCCUGCUUCUCCUCCUCCGGCAGAUCAAAAAAUUCUCUACAUGCAUCAAUCAUUGAUCUCAUUAGUCUCUCUGGUACUCCAUGAUUGAUCACCAUGAAG